CCUUCGCUCGGCGCACACGCUCAAGCUUCUUUUCCCUCUCCUCCCGAGCCGCAACAACACGUCUUCUUUCCUCCUCUUCCUUGUGCUCCCUCUUUUGAGCCUCCUCUCUACGUCUCUUCUCUAAUAUCUCUGCACGCUCUGCAUCCCACUCCUUUAGGCCUUGUAGAAGCCGCUUGUCGGACUCCUUAAUCUCAGUGUCGAUCCACUU
RNAcentral lists this long non-coding RNA (208 nucleotides) under Sorghum bicolor (sorghum). RNAcentral's name for it is "long non-coding RNA (SBIC_LNC017905)". The record is from RNAcentral. Lineage: Eukaryota; Viridiplantae; Streptophyta; Magnoliopsida; Poales; Poaceae.